AAAAAAUUAGUUAAUUUAUAACAUUAGUUUGUCAAACUAAAGUAAAUUUUUAUAAAUUAUUUUUUA
This 66-nucleotide transfer RNA is filed under the name Apis dorsata (giant honeybee). RNAcentral's name for it is "tRNA-Asp". Lineage: Eukaryota; Metazoa; Arthropoda; Insecta; Hymenoptera; Apidae. The record is from RNAcentral.